This 439-nucleotide ribosomal RNA is filed under the name uncultured Tissierella sp. RNAcentral describes it as "bacterial SSU rRNA". It matches the Rfam family "Bacterial small subunit ribosomal RNA", at positions 338 to 795 of the family's 1533-position model. The record is from RNAcentral. Lineage: Bacteria; Bacillati; Bacillota; Tissierellia; Tissierellales; Tissierellaceae.
CCUACGGGGGGCUGCAGUGGGGAAUAUUGCACAAUGGAGGAAACUCUGAUGCAGCGACGCCGCGUGAACGAUGAAGGCUUUCGGGUCGUAAAGUUCUGUCCUUGGGGACGAUAAUGACGGUACCCAAGGAGGAAGCCCCGGCUAACUACGUGCCAGCAGCCGCGGUAAUACGUAGGGGGCAAGCGUUGUCCGGAUUUAUUGGGCGUAAAGGGUUCGCAGGUGGCCUUUUAAGUCAGAUGUGAAAGAUCAAGGCUUAACCUUGGUAAGCAUUUGAAACUGAAAGGCUUGAGUUAAGGAGAGGAAAGUGGAAUUCCUAGUGUAGCGGUGAAAUGCGUAGAUAUUAGGAGGAAUACCAGUGGCGAAGGCGACUUUCUGGACUUAUACUGACACUGAGGAACGAAAGCAUGGGGAGCAAACAGGCUUAGAUACCCCAGUAGUC